UUUAUUGGAGAGUUUGAUCCUGGCUCAGGAUGAACGCUGGCGGCGUGCCUAAUACAUGCAAGUCGAGCGAAUGGAUUAAGAGCUUGCUCUUAUGAAGUUAGCGGCGGACGGGUGAGUAACACGUGGGUAACCUGCCCAUAAGACUGGGAUAACUCCGGGAAACCGGGGCUAAUACCGGAUAAUAUUUUGAACUGCAUGGUUCGAAAUUGACAGGCGGCUUCGGCUGUCACUUAUGGAAGGACCCGCUUCGCAUUAGCUAGUUGGUGAGGUAACGGCUCACCAAGGCAACGAUGCGAAUCCGACCUGAGAGGGUGAUCGGCCACACUGG
This 328-nucleotide ribosomal RNA is filed under the name Bacillus thuringiensis. Its description in RNAcentral is "bacterial SSU rRNA". It matches the Rfam family "Bacterial small subunit ribosomal RNA", at positions 1 to 316 of the family's 1533-position model. Lineage: Bacteria; Bacillati; Bacillota; Bacilli; Caryophanales; Bacillaceae. The record is from RNAcentral.